Long non-coding RNA from Homo sapiens (human), 1038 nucleotides. Lineage: Eukaryota; Metazoa; Chordata; Mammalia; Primates; Hominidae. The record is from Ensembl.
GGUAACACCUGUGGGGCAUUCCUUUUUGAACAGUACCCCUUCCCUUGAUGUCUGCAAUAUCACCUUUCUUAUAGAUUAGCAUAUAUGUGGCCAAAGGAACAACUCCAUGUUUUUGUAAAGGCCUAGAGAACAUAUAUCCAGUGCCUUUCCUUUUUGCCUUUGUAUUCAUCAUUUUGGCAAAUUACUGGAAGAUGACGGUUCUGGCCAAAAGGCUGGUUUUGUUUUUGGGUCACAUUUUCUUGCUUCUCUGCGUUAGAAUCUUGGAUUAGAUGAUGGACAUGGUGAAGAUGGAAAAUAUGAGGUGCAGAGAAGUGAUGGAAAAAAGAGAAGAUCAGGAUUUCAGUUUUUUUCUGCAUUUCUCAUCAUCCCAUGAAGUCUCUUGAUAACAUAAGCCAAGUUUUCAUAUACCUUGACGUGUGUGAUACUUACGUGGUGCCAAGAACAAGAUGCAUACUCAAUAAAUAUUCAUCACUAUAGGCAAAAGCGGGCACAGAUGGAAAAUAAAAUUAUUUGAAGAGUCUUGCUCUGUCACACAGGCUGGAGCGUAGUGGCAUGAUCUCAGCUCAUUGCAACCUCUGCCUCCUGGGUUCAAGCAAUCCUCCUACCUCAGCCUCCUGAGUAGCUUGGACCACAGCAUCGAACAAACAACUGAGAUCCUGUUGUGCCUAUCACCUGUUGAAGUUGCCAGUCUUAAGGAAGGAAUCAAUUUCUUUCGCAAUAAGAGCACUGGCAAAGACUACGUCUUGUACAAGAAUAAGAGCCGACUGAGGGCAUGCAAGAAUAUGUGCAAGCACCAAGGAGGCCUGUUCAUAAAAGAUAUCGAGGAUUUAGCCGGAAGUUGUUGAAAUGGAUGAAAACAACGGACUUUUGCUUUUAGAACUGAAUCCUCCUAACCCUUGGGACUUACAGCCCAGAUCUCCUGAAGAGUUGGCUUUUGGAGAAGUACAGAUAACAUAUCUCACUCAUGCCUGCAUGGACCUCAAGUUAGGAGACAAGAGAAUGGUGUUUGACCCUUGGUUAAUCGGUCCUGCUUUUGCC